RNAcentral lists this ribosomal RNA (1129 nucleotides) under uncultured marine group I thaumarchaeote. RNAcentral describes it as "bacterial SSU rRNA". It matches the Rfam family "Archaeal small subunit ribosomal RNA", at positions 277 to 1408 of the family's 1478-position model. Lineage: Archaea; Thermoproteati; Nitrososphaerota. The record is from RNAcentral.
UGAGAGAGAAGCCCGGAGAUGGGUACUGAGACNNGGACCCAGGCCCUAUGGGGCGCAGCAGGCGAGAAAACUUUGCAAUGUGCGAAAGCACGACAAGGUUAAUCCGAGUGAUUUCUGCUAAAGGAAUCUUUUGUUAGUUCUAAAUAUACUAGUGAAUAAGGGGUGGGCAAGUUCUGGUGUCAGCCGCCGCGGUAAAACCAGCACCUCAAGUGGUCAGGAGGANUAUUGGGCCUAAAGCAUCCGUAGCCUGUUCUAUAAGUUUGCGGUUAAAUCUAUGCGCUCAACGUAUAGGCUGCCGUAAAUACUGUAGAACUAGGGAGUGGGAGAGGUAGACGGUACUCGAUAGGAAGGGGUAAAAUCCUUUGAUCUAUUGAUGACCACCUGUGGCGAAGGCGGUCUACCAGAACACGUUCGACGGUGAGGGAUGAAAGCUGGGGGAGCAAACCGGAUUAGAUACCCGGGUAGUCCCAGCUGUAAACGAUGCAGACUCGAUGAUGCAAUGGCAUAGAGCUAUUGCAGUAUCGCAGGGAAGCCGUUAAGUCUGCCGCCUGGGAAGUACGUACGCAAGUAUGAAACUUAAAGGAAUUGGCGGGGGAGCACCACAAGGGGUGAAGCCUGCGGUUCAAUUGGAGUCAACGCCAGAAAUCUUACCCGGAGAGACAGCAGAAUGAAGGUCAGGCUGAAGACCUUACCAGACAAGCUGAGAGGUGGUGCAUGGCCGUCGUCAGCUCGUGCCGUGAGAUGUCCUGUUAAGUCAGGUAACGAGCGAGAUCCCUGCCACUAGUUGCUAUUAUUAUUCUCAGGAGUAGUGGGGCGAAUUAGUGGGACCGCCACAGUUAAUGUGGAGGAAGGAAGGGGCCACGGCAGGUCAGUAUGCCCCGAAACUCUGGGGCCACACGCGGGCUGCAAUGGUAGUGACAAUAGGCUCCUAACUCGAAAGAGAGAGGCAAUCCAAAAACACUACCACAGUUAUGACUGAGGGCUGUAACUCGCCCUCACGAAUAUGGAAUCCCUAGUAACUGCGUGUCAUUACCGCGCGGUGAAUACGUCCCUGCUCCUUGCACACACCGCCCGUCGUUUCAUCGAAGUUUGCUUUUAGUGAGGUGAUGUUUUAUUGGNAUUAUCGAAC